UGGAGGCAGCAGUGGGGAAUAUUGGACAAUGGGCGCAAGCCUGAUCCAGCCACGCCGCGUGAGUGAUGAAGGCCUUCGGGUCGUAAAGCUCUGUGGGGAGGGACGAACCGCCGGUUAUUAAUACCAGCCGGCAUGACGGUACCUCCUUAGCAAGCACCGGCUAACUUCGUGCCAGCAGCCGCGGUAAU
Molecule: ribosomal RNA, 188 nt
Filed under: uncultured bacterium
Lineage: Bacteria
Description: partial 16S ribosomal RNA
Rfam family: Bacterial small subunit ribosomal RNA
Source: RNAcentral